AGAACCUAGGUAGUACGUAGCUAGGACCAUUUAUAUAUACAUAACUUUACUUUGUAGAAAUUUGGACUUUUAUAUGGUAUAUUUUAUGGUGGGAAACAUUGUAACACCGUAACCCCACGGAACACCUGUGUAUUAUGCUUUGAAAUCUAGUCAUUCAUUGUAUAAAAGUUAACCCUCUCGUAAUUACUUGAUAGUAUGCUACCUUGGUUGAAUUCCAUCUAACAUUCAUAUUUGCCCCAUUAAUAUUUUUUCUCAUUUGUAUCACACACCUUCACCUUCAC
RNAcentral lists this long non-coding RNA (281 nucleotides) under Setaria viridis. RNAcentral's name for it is "long non-coding RNA (SVIR_LNC001204)". The record is from RNAcentral. Lineage: Eukaryota; Viridiplantae; Streptophyta; Magnoliopsida; Poales; Poaceae.